This 253-nucleotide ribosomal RNA is filed under the name uncultured bacterium. Its description in RNAcentral is "partial 16S ribosomal RNA". It matches the Rfam family "Bacterial small subunit ribosomal RNA", at positions 524 to 776 of the family's 1533-position model. The record is from RNAcentral.
UACGAAGGGGGCUAGCGUUGCUCGGAAUCACUGGGCGUAAAGGGUGCGUAGGCGGGUUUUCAAGUCAGAGGUGAAAUCCUGGAGCUCAACUCCAGAACUGCCUUUGAUACUGGGAAUCUUGAGUAUGGAAGAGGUGAGUGGAACUGCGAGUGUAGAGGUGAAAUCCGUAGAUAUUCGCAAGAACACCAGUGGCGAAGGCGGCUCACUGGUCCAUAACUGACGCUGAGGCACGAAAGCGUGGGGAGCAAACAGG